UAGGACAGAAAUGACCACCCCUUAAUGUAUUGCAGUUUUCUGAAUGAAUGAUAGCCACUCUGAUCUUACCCAAAGUGCUGGUCAUUCAUCCUUAAUCAUUCCCCUGCCACAGUCCAGGCUGAGAGUCAGAAUUACUCAGCCAAGCAUCUCUCCCUGGUAAUUUCUUAUGAGUGUCAUUGCACUGACGAGGAUCCUGGCAUGUUUCUAGAUGUCCCUAGUCAUCAGGUACUUAAAAACCAUCAUUCUCAGGUUUUCCUGUCCAGCCUUCAGCUGUGUAGGAAGAAUGAUAAAACUGUUUCCAUUUUUUCCCUCUGUUCUGCCAAGUCUUCUCCUCCAUUACAUUGUGUCCUAAUAAUGGCCUCUGUUUUCCAAACCCUAUCUGAUUCUGUUCAGCAGGAGUCUGCUCUUGAUGUAGUUCUUUUUGUUUCCUCCUUAAAAUAAAUCCUAAAAUUAGCCAACACCCAAGCAGCCCUAGCAGCUCCACCACCUGUGGUUCGGCGUGGUCUUACUGGAGAUCUCAUUACUGCAUCAUCCCACAGCCGUGAUGCUUCUGGGAUUAUUGAUGUGAUGUUACUCAAAGUGCUGUCUCAUCCCCAGGUGAGAUAACCUGGAUUUUCAAGGGCUCUGCCAACCUAGUAUGAGUUCUGCCAAGACCUGCCACGCUGGAAGAGUUUCCAGUCUAGGCUCCAAUGGACUACGUGUCUUUUGUCUGAGGAACAACUUGGCUUAUUCUGGGGAGGCUCAUCACCAGAAAACUGGCUACCAAGGGCACACCUGUAGACCUGGUGACAGUCUGUGCGUGCCUUGGCGUGGACGUGGGAAGGCACUUAUUUACUGCCAAGCUAAAAUUAAGAUCCCAGUUUUUACAUGUUGUUUAGGGACAGCGGCUGAUACAGAACUCUGGGUGCUUCUGCUCUCAGCUUUAAUAAGUGGGCUGGAGUGGAUGACUGCUAUCAGUUUUUUGGCACUGUAAAUGGCUGCCAUUUGAUGGGGGGCUAAAUAAAAAGUCAUGCGCUUUCCUAUGGCUGGAACCG
RNAcentral lists this long non-coding RNA (1034 nucleotides) under Monodelphis domestica (gray short-tailed opossum). RNAcentral's name for it is "lncRNA (ENSMODG00000048704.1)". Lineage: Eukaryota; Metazoa; Chordata; Mammalia; Didelphimorphia; Didelphidae. The record is from RNAcentral.